AUUGAACGCUGGCGGAAUGCUUUACACAUGCAAGUCGAGCGGCAGCGCGGGGGCAACCCUGGCGGCGAGCGGCGAACGGGUGAGUAAUACAUCGGAACGUGUCCUUAAGGUGGGGAUAGCUCGGCGAAAGCCGGAUUAAUACCGCAUAAGCUCUGAGGAGGAAAGCGGGGGCUCCGUAAGGACCUCGCGCUGUUGGAGCGGCCGAUGUCGGAUUAGCUAGUUGGUGGGGAAAGGCCCACCAAGGCGACGAUCCGUAGCUGGUCUGAGAGGAUGAUCAGCCACACUGGAACUGAGACACGGUCCAGGACUCCUACGGGAGGCAGCAGUGGGGAAUUUGGACAAUGGGGGCAACCCUGAUCCAGCCAUUCCGCGUGAGUGAAGAAGGCCUGG
RNAcentral lists this ribosomal RNA (390 nucleotides) under uncultured bacterium. RNAcentral's name for it is "bacterial SSU rRNA". It matches the Rfam family "Bacterial small subunit ribosomal RNA", at positions 29 to 419 of the family's 1533-position model. The record is from RNAcentral.